GGGGAGAGAAGAAGAAGAAAAUGGGAGAGGGAGAGAAUGCAGAGGAGGAGGAAGAAGAAGAAAAGCGGAGCAGAAGCACAUAGCCUGGAGAAACCGCAAGUUCUAAGGGGUCUCAUUGAUGUGGAAGGUUUGCUCUGAAGACCAGAAGAGCCAAGAGUUGGGAAAGCAAUAUACCUCUUGUGAAGAUUCUCUUACCACGAGUUCAAGAAACCUGCAGCUUGUACAGCUUUUGCACCUUGGGUUAACCAUUUAAAUGCUGUAUUUUGCUCUCACAGAAAGUACUGGGAAGUCUGCUACCCUUAGUAAUUUGCUGCCCUAGGCAACUGCUUGUUUGGGCUCAGUUCUCCCAGCUGGAGUCAUUGUUCCAACUUAUUUGUACGUUUUUUGAGUCUGUAAACUGGAGCUCAUUCUAUAGACCAAACUGGUCUUGAACUCAGAAAUUUGGCUGCCUCUGCCUCCCAAGUGCUGAGAUUGAAGGCAUGCACCACCACGGCCCAGCAGAACUAACCCAUUCUUAUUGGAGCUACAUCAAUCCCUUUCUCUGAGUGGACUCUACCAGGGCAUAAUUACUUCAUCAAGGUUCUACCACCUGACCACACCAUUAUGCUGAUGACCAAAGUGCAACAUGAGUUUUGUCAGGACAAGCAAAAUGUACACUCUGGAUCCCCACCGCACCUCACCAUCUGUCGCCACAACUCUGGAGAUGAGGGAUACCAGCUAUUAUGAAGGCUCAAUAACCCAAUUGGUUCUUUCUAUUUUCAAAAUAAAUUCUAGAACUCUCUUU
Molecule: long non-coding RNA, 784 nt
Filed under: Mus musculus (house mouse)
Lineage: Eukaryota; Metazoa; Chordata; Mammalia; Rodentia; Muridae
Description: RIKEN cDNA 0610040F04 gene (0610040F04Rik)
Source: RNAcentral